Molecule: transfer RNA, 35 nt
Filed under: Orobanche crenata
Lineage: Eukaryota; Viridiplantae; Streptophyta; Magnoliopsida; Lamiales; Orobanchaceae
Description: tRNA-Ala
Source: RNAcentral
GGCGGAUGUCAGCGGUUCGAGCCCGCUUAUCUCCA